Betta splendens (Siamese fighting fish) is the source of this 923-nucleotide long non-coding RNA. Ensembl annotates it as chondroitin proteoglycan 2-like. The record is from Ensembl. NCBI's taxonomy places the organism in Eukaryota, Metazoa, Chordata, Actinopteri, Anabantiformes, Osphronemidae.
AUGCAUGUUUUUUGUCCACAUAGCUACAACAUGUGCAGGCUAAUUCUAACUGCAGGUGCGUGUUUGAUCAUCGCUAACUUGGCUUCUUCAGCCAGUCUCACUGACACAGUUCUGACCACAAAAGCUCCCAGUGCCACUGACAAUUUCUGUGAAGGAAAGACGGAUGGGAAUUACGCCAACCCCAGUAACCCAAAUUCAUUCUAUGGCUGUUCUAAUGGGCUGACAAACAUCUUGUGGUGCCCAGAAGACCUGGUCUUCAAACAGAGUUGCAACUGCUGUGACUGGCCCAGAACCAGGUCUGAUGGACUCGCCAGAGAUUUCUGUAAAGGAAAGAAGAAUGGAAAUUACUUCAACCCAAGCAACAUCAAUUCCUUCUACAGCUGUUCUAAUGGGCUGACCUACAUCAUGAAAUGCCCAGAAGAUCUGAUCUUUAACCAGCGAUUAAACGCCUGUGUGUGGCCCUAGCUCUCUUUGUUAGAAACUAAUUAAUGUUGAUUUAAAGUAACUAAUUGAUCAAAUCUAAUUGAAUCAAAGUAAUUUCUAUAAUGAUCACGUUGUAUCAGUACAUAACGGCUUUUACUGUGAUUUUGCUUUCAUUUGUUGUUCAUUUUAGUUAAUAGCUUGGUUAAUCUGCCUGUUGUCCAACAAGAACCGUCUGCUCUCCGACCUUAUCUAACUGUCCUGAUGUAUCCAAGAAAAAAAUCCAGCAAGGUUUCCACUUGUACUGUGUGCCACUGUGUGUGUGCAUGUGUUUUUUGUAUUGUAUUGUUUUGUACUGCAACUUGCUUCCACAGUCAGAUUGGACAUGGCGCCAUAGACGGCUGCCUGGGUGUGCCAACACCAAGACAAGUUCCCAGUUCUGUAGAGUGCACUCUACAGGACCUGGCAAUAAAGCUCUUUCUAAUUCUGAUUCUGAUUCUGAA